Molecule: long non-coding RNA, 651 nt
Filed under: Medicago truncatula (barrel medic)
Lineage: Eukaryota; Viridiplantae; Streptophyta; Magnoliopsida; Fabales; Fabaceae
Description: lncRNA gene16514
Source: RNAcentral
GGAAACAACAUAUAUUAAUUAAACAACAUGCCUAAGCCUAACAAAAGCAUAAGAUAUGCUGAUGAAAGACAAACCAUGAACAUACAUCAUUAUUGAAAUUUGGAUGGAGAUUAAGAAACCCAAUUAUUUUAGUCGGAAACAAAGACCGCUACUUAUUUAAAGUAGUACAUAAAUGCAUAAUAUCGAUAUUAAGCAGGAAGAGACAUCUUCAAGAAGUCUUUUUCGAAUUUCAAGCUAGAGGCCAUCUUGAAUGCGUUUACUGCUUCAGAGACAGAGGGGAAACACAAGCCAUAUUGAAGAUUAGGAAAACGAGCACAAUAAUUGCCACUACCCUUUUUUGUGCAUUCAGCAUGAGACCAACAUAACUUAGGUGGUUCCUCAACCUUCUUCUUAAGCUCUGCAUAUGAACGAGGAUCAUAACAUUCAUACAUAGGAACAACUGGAUGCCAAGUUAACGCGCAGACACAAUCGCCAUUACAUCCAUAAUCCGGAUUGCAAGGAACACGGAAACAAAAUGCUGCUUCAACUUUCUUCAUUGGGAAUAUCACUAAUGCGGCAAGCAUAAAGACAGCAAAAGGAGCAAGCUUAACAUAAGUCAUUGUUCUAUCAAAAGAAAGAACCAGCUACAAAAUACUAUUGUUUGUUAAUUAU